GCCUAACUGUACAGUUGGUAGAGCAUGGUGUUUGCAACACCAGGGUUGUGGGUUCGAUUCCCACGGGGGGCC
This 72-nucleotide transfer RNA is filed under the name Salmo salar (Atlantic salmon). It matches the Rfam family "tRNA". Rfam says of the family: Transfer RNA (tRNA) molecules are approximately 80 nucleotides in length. Their secondary structure includes four short double-helical elements and three loops (D, anti-codon, and T loops). Lineage: Eukaryota; Metazoa; Chordata; Actinopteri; Salmoniformes; Salmonidae. The record is from Rfam by way of RNAcentral.